This is an RNA transcript of Haliotis rubra (blacklip abalone), 2652 nucleotides long. RefSeq lists it as uncharacterized. The transcript is spliced from 7 exons. The record is from RefSeq and is a predicted model, not a curated record. NCBI's taxonomy places the organism in Eukaryota, Metazoa, Mollusca, Gastropoda, Lepetellida, Haliotidae.
CCCUAUCAUACUACCUCGUCACUCUGCACCGCAUAUCUUUAGUGAGAUAAGAGGCACAGGAUCAAAAUGGCGUCUCUUCUCAGCUUGUGUUUACUUCUACAGGCUACGGUGACAGUGUUUGGAUACCCUAGUACAGACAACAUCAACUUCUACUGUGGCAGUACAAUCACUGUCUUCGAUUCCGUGAUCCUGAAGCUAAAGAGUUACUCCUGGCCUAACGACGAUACAUGCUCAGUUACGCUCACGGCAAGCAGCUUCUACCACACCAACGCCUACCUCUCUGUGCAGUUCCUCGACAUCGCCCUUCCUGACGGUCUUUUGGGCGACUGCUCCCGCAGUCGUGUGGAUGUCAAGGAUCCAUCUGGCACCUUCCUGAGCAGUCAGUCGGGUGUGUGUGGCUACACGACGCCGUUUGAUCAGCCCUGGACAAGCAGUGGCGACAGUGUAGUGGUCAGACUCAAACGUCUCCAGUCGGGGCAGACCGGGUCAUUCCGGAUCUUGGUGUCGCAGUUUGCCAAUGGUGUCUGUGACGAAUAUGGCGAAUAUGAUUGUGAUAACGGCCGAUGUGUGGACAGCACCGUCACUUGUGACGGCUACGACGACUGCACCGACGACUCCGAUGAAACCUCCGCCUGUACCUGGGGAGCAGGAAGCAUUGCCGGUGUUGCUAUCGCCGUCACCUGUACCGUCCUCAUAUUCUUCGGCAUUUCUUUUGCAGUCUAUAGACGAAGAACAUACGGGACUGUGUUUUGGCGUUCCCCCGUUAUGUACGGCGGUCAGACGGUAGUACAGAACAACAUGGCCCUCAACCCCCAGUACGGAGUGCAGAACCCGGCCCCCGUUUACACCGUGGCGCCCCCUCCAUAUAGCGCCACAUGAUCAACUAAACUCUCUCUUUGCUUUUUGAUGAAUAUGACAUGUUGUAAAUCAAAUAUGUAGAUACAAUACCACCGAAAAUGUAAAGUAAUCGCUUCAUUAUAGCGAGGCUGGUGUUAUAAAACAUGUAAUUUUUUUUUUAAUAGUCGUUUUUAAUCUAGAGACUUCGUGCAAUACUUGAGACAAUUAAUUUUGUAGAAUCAUUGAAACAUAUUUAUAUACAUAUUGAUAAAAAAAUUCAACAUUUAUUAGUUUUGACUUUCAAAUAUAACGUUUAGUAACAGUGACAAUUUCCCCUAUAUCCAAACCAUUCGGAGAAAAUUUCAUUAUUCAGCUUGGUAAAUAUACAUAUAUGCAGGUAUGUUUCUGCUGAAUGGGUAUAUAUAUAUAUAUAUAUAUAUAUAUGCAGGUAUGUUCCUGCUGAAUGGGUAAAUAUGCAUGUAUGUUCCUGCUGAAUGGGUAAAUAUACAUAUAUGCAUGUAUGUUCCUGCUGAAUGGGUAAAUAUACAUGUAUGUUCCUGCUGAAUGGGUAAAUAUACAUGUAUGUUCCCGCUGAAUGGGUAAAUAUACAUGUAUGUUCCUGCUGAAUGGGUAAAUAUACAUAUAUAGAUGUAUGUUCCUGUUAAAUGGGUAAAUAUACAUAUAUAGAUGUAUGUUCCUGCUGAAUGGGUAAAUACACAUGUAUGCAGGUAUGGCCCUGCUGAAUGUGUGACUAGGAAAAGAUUCCCCUUUUCAUUGACACCUGGUUUUAUCACAAGGAAUCCAUUUAUAUUAUUUCAAGAUCCUACUGGGAAAUAAUCAAGACCGAUUUUUCCAGCGUCGACAUAGCGUCUUUAUGUAACGGCGCACAAAUAUGUUCAACAUGGAUAACAUUUUGAUUUGGGGACACUGUUAGUGCAGUUAUCAAAUGGACGCUUUAAAAUGACAUCAUCCGUAUACAAUUAUUGAUAAAUGUCUGGAUUAAUUUGAAUGACUCUUGUUGAAAUAAAAGUAAUAUUUUUUUAAUUAUUUGACAUCAUCUUUUCUGUUACUAUCUCCCGGAAACACUGAUUGGAAGUUAGACCCAUUCUCUUCCCACAGAGGUUACUUGUCAUACAUUCCUACGAGGGAGAUAUGACAAGUAACCUCUGUGGAAAGAGAAUGAGUUAGACCAUGAAGCGAGAUAAUAAUCUUAUCCAUAGUGUAUGAGUUUAAAGGUUUUUGUUUGUUGUUUAACGCCGCACUCUACGAUAUUCCAGCUGUAUGGCGGCAGUCUGUAAAUAAUUGAAUCUGGUGCAGGCAAUCCAGUGAUUGACACCAUGAGCAUCGAUCUACGCAACUGGGAAACGAUGACAUAUGUCAACGACGUCAGUGAGCCUGACCACCGAUCCCGUUAGUCGCCUCUUAUGACAAGCAUUGGUUGUUGAAGACCAAUAUUGUAACCCGGGUUUUCAAUGGUUGCACGUGUUAAGUAGCCGUCCUUUGUGUAGUUUGUUUAUUUGUGACGUCCUAGUCAGUUCAAUAUAUUGCUUCGGUCUGUAAGGAGUCUUGACAAUCUUAUGAUUAACAUCAUGAGCAUCGACAUUUGCAAUUGGGAUACGAUGACGUAUGCCAACCGAGUCAGCAAGCCCGAUCCCGUUAGUCGCCACCUAACAUGGGCUGUAUGAGGUUCUUUGUGUAGAACAUGUAUGUAUUUAGGAGAGAAUAUAAUAUUUAUAUAUCCAGAAUAGUUAAAAGCAGGGGAAAAAAUGUUUUCUAGCAUGUUACAUGUUUUACAUAAUUAAAGGUGUAUUGGUA